UGGGGAAUCUUAGACAAUGGGGGAAACCCUGAUCUAGCCAUGCCGCGUGAGCGAUGAAGGCCUUAGGGUUGUAAAGCUCUUUCAGCUGGGAAGAUAAUGACGGUACCAGCAGAAGAAGCCCCGGCUAACUCCGUGCCAGCAGCCGCGGUAAUACGGAGGGGGCUAGCGUUGUUCGGAAUUACUGGGCGUAAAGCGCACGUAGGCGGAUUAGUCAGUCAGAGGUGAAAUCCCAGGGCUCAACCCUGGAACUGCCUUUGAUACUGCUAGUCUUGAGGUCGAGAGAGGUGAGUGGAAUUCCGAGUGUAGAGGUGAAAUUCGUAGAUAUUCGGAGGAACACCAGUGGCGAAGGCGGCUCACUGGCUCGAUACUG
This 370-nucleotide ribosomal RNA is filed under the name uncultured bacterium. RNAcentral describes it as "partial 16S ribosomal RNA". It matches the Rfam family "Bacterial small subunit ribosomal RNA", at positions 355 to 742 of the family's 1533-position model. The record is from RNAcentral.